AUCCACCCAAGACCCGGUUCCUCGAUUCCCAUCCUUACGACCGAGGAAAAAAGAGUAAAUUUUCCUAUUAUAGCCUUCUCUCGCACCUUCCCCGCUUCCCACCAGCCGUCUCCACUGUCCUCACCGUCCCCAUCCUCAUCCAUGGCGAAAUCUUCGCCCCCAGCCUCGUGAAGAUCUAGCACGUCCGCCAUCUCGCCUUCGAUCGAGAUCUCGUCUGUGCCGCUCAGACACUAGGUACCUCGGGAAACUGUCGCAGAGGGGAAAGGUCGCCAGUCAAGCUGACCAAUCAAAGGCUAACUCUAAAUCCCUCCCUCUGCACGGUAAAAACACGCAAAUUGGGGCGGGCCUAGUGCGGAAAGAUACCGGAAGUGUUUCUGUGGCCAUCUUGAACAGAUCGCAAGCUAAAUCAUCCAUCUUAGGAGAAACGGGGCUUUGCCAUGUCUCAAACUCCUGGCCUCAAGUGAUCCACCCGCCUCAGCCUCCCAAAGUGCUGGGAUUACAGGCCUGAGCCACCAUGCCCAGCCAGGAAGAUGCUGUUGACUGGGGCAAAGAAUAAUGGGAGAAAAACAGCUGGGUCCUAAAUAACAGAGGGAAACCAACUUUCAAUAAAGUAUUCAACAACUAAUCCACAAAGCAGAUAACUGAACUUGCUGGCCUGCUCUAUAGUGCUGUUGCUUAAAAAGUCAUCUGUGAAGAAAACCAGAGGGAGAAAUUUCACCUGCCAAAGUGGAUAAAGAG
Molecule: long non-coding RNA, 738 nt
Filed under: Homo sapiens (human)
Lineage: Eukaryota; Metazoa; Chordata; Mammalia; Primates; Hominidae
Description: LIX1L antisense RNA 1
Source: RNAcentral